This 468-nucleotide ribosomal RNA is filed under the name uncultured bacterium. RNAcentral describes it as "partial 16S ribosomal RNA". It matches the Rfam family "Bacterial small subunit ribosomal RNA", at positions 28 to 507 of the family's 1533-position model. The record is from RNAcentral.
GACGAACGCUGGCGGCGUGCUUAACACAUGCAAGUCGAACGGAAAGGCCCUGCUUUUGUGGGGUGCUCGAGUGGCGAACGGGUGAGUAACACGUGAGUAACCUGCCCUUGACUUUGGGAUAACUUCAGGAAACUGGGGCUAAUACCGGAUAGGAGCUCCUGCUGCAUGGUGGGGGUUGGAAAGUUUCGGCGGUUGGGGAUGGACUCGCGGCUUAUCAGCUUGUUGGUGGGGUAGUGGCUUACCAAGGCUUUGACGGGUAGCCGGCCUGAGAGGGUGACCGGCCACAUUGGGACUAAGAUACGGCCCAGACUCCUACGGGAGGCAGCAGUGGGGGAUAUUGCACGAUGGGCGGAAGCCUGAUGCAGCAACGCCGCGUGCGGGAUGACGGCCUUCGGGUUGUAAACCGCUUGCGCCUGUGACGAAGCGUGAGAGACGGUAAUGGAUAAAGAAGCACCGGCUAGCUACGUG